Long non-coding RNA from Tachysurus fulvidraco (yellow catfish), 4083 nucleotides. RefSeq lists it as uncharacterized. The record is from RefSeq and is a predicted model, not a curated record. The transcript has 4 exons. NCBI's taxonomy places the organism in Eukaryota, Metazoa, Chordata, Actinopteri, Siluriformes, Bagridae.
UGCAUCAGAGAGGUAACGAACCCACUACGUGAUGCGUGUCAGGAAACAUUUACUGAGGUUUAUUAAACAUGAAGUCGUAAACAACAUCCAAGCAUAAAUCGAGAAACCAAGACAACAAACAAAUCCAAAGCAGAGAAAAAGAACCAUCAGCUGGUGAGCUGGAGAAGUGACAAUGCUGAAUGACAUGGCUAACAGGAAACUGGUAUAAAUGUCAUCCAAACAGGAAGUGGAUUGUAAUCAGAAUUAAAGUGAUGGCUCCCUCUGGUGGAGGGAUGAGUGAUCCAUGAACUGAGACGUCACAAGAGUAAACAGAGUAAAAGGUAAAGACAUAAAGCAAGUAUCCAGGAGAGGACUGAUGAGAUAAAGGCUCUGUGUCAUCAGGAGAGAAACAUCUCACACUGCGCUGGAGGAACGUGGACCCUUUCAGGCGGAUGGAGUCUAGCUGUGUGUAUCAUGUACGCAGUGGCUGUUAGACCACUGUGUGUGAGGCCACUGAGAUAUUUUGGAUAAAGAUGUGGAAAGGAUGCAAUAAACUUGGCAGGAUAUAAAUGUCCGGGUCCAGCGAUCACUGAGCCACUCCGCAGAUGUAUGAGGCGGUGUAAGUAGGUGGAGAUGUGAGCGUACGAUCACUGAGCUCCUGAUGACCUCUGCACUGUGAGAGAGCGAACGGAGGGAGGCUGCGCGAUCGAUAGCAGAUGCUAUCACAGCUCCCCCCACGUGCCCGGGGGUCCUGAUCUCCACAGGGGUCAUCAGCAAGUUAUUUUGAUGUCACACAGACAGAGUCACAGUAAAAUGGAGCUAGAAAAGUGGAUACAAACCCCACUACGGUUAUGUUCGUAAACCGACGCCAAGUGAGACGACAUAAUUUAAAAGAAUAACGACAGAUAAACUCUCGGAGUGUGACUUUAUCAAUAUGAUGGAUAUAAUCACGCUCUACACGCCUUCACCUGAUCCAUUUCUAUGCUGGCCUCGUUCCACUUCACACCCGUGAUGAUCAAAUCGAACUUUAAUCCGUGUUUUGUAAUUAAUUAUUUACACCUGUCUCCAACUUCCCGCUCUGUUGUCAGGAUGUGUGGAGCGCCGAGUUCCGAUGUUGUGAGCUCCAGUGUUUGAUAAAGCAUUCUGUUGAGGAGAAGUCAGCAGUUAUUAAGGUUCUCUCUCGACGCGGUGGUGGCGGGCUGCACACUGUGCUUGGAGCGAGCUCUCUCUGAGGACGAGUUCAAACGUGGCACCUCGACAUACGCUCUCCGACACACAAAAAGAACCUUUCAUCUGCUUCCCGAGCAGCUCCUCGUCUCCUCUUUGUGUCUGAGAUUUCACCGAGUGCCUCGACUUUGUUUAACCUCAGCCAGGAGGAUUCCAUUCGACUCGACAUCAUGCAGAAUGAUUCGUGAUUCUAAUAUGCGAGAGGGAUCUGGGUGAUUUUUCUAGAUAUCUGAGAGCCAGAAGAAUGACACUCGUAUAUAUCUCCUUUCCUUCCAUUUGGGACACUGUGUCUUUUAGCACGUUAGCAUGACUUUGCUUUUUUGAUUGUCAGCGCUAACUAGAAGGUUACUGGUAGGUUUCUUUUUUUUUUUUUUAAGAUUUCUGAACCGGUUUUCUGUCAGAAUGGAGAACAUGAAUGGUUAUUGACAUGAUUAAUGAAAAUCAUCACCUAAAACAUCAGAGAUAAGGGACAAUGUUGAUGAGAAAAUGAGACGGAGAGAAGAAAAGAAGGUGACCGUCAUUUCAGGUGUUCAGAAGUCUCGACAAACACACGGUGAUGGCUGAUGGUAAUUGUGUGGUGUAAAUCCUGCCAGGAGAUACGGUCCACCAGCGAGGUCGAUUAAUCGGGCAUUAAACUCAAUCUGAGCAGGACCUUGAAGGGGAGAUUUUCAUUAUGAGACCAAGAGCAUCUGCAGAUGAGGACCACAGCAGCCAAGGCCAAGCUCUUUACACCUUUUCACACUUUCCACAGCUGCUCCAAGCCUCUGCACAGAGACGGCACACACACACACACACACACACACACACACACACACACACACACACACACACACAGCGACGUAUUCAUCCUCCUCUUUCCUUAUAUACUUUUAUCAGAAAGGCUGAGAGACGUCAAGUGAGGGAUGAGCUGUAGUCCAGGAAUCGAGCAGCGCCGGCCUUGGGAGAGAUUUAGAACCAGAGGGAACGGUUUUCUAAAACUCCAGCAGAAUGUGGAGGUGUUUGUUGGUGCAGGACCAAGAAUACCAGGAACAGGCUCUUCUGACUACACCUACGUAUUCAUCAUGGGGUUUCCAUCCACCGGUCUUCAUGCAGAUUUUGUAAAGACCUCCUACAUAUCACAGGGUUUUCUGUUUGGCAGAGGUGGAAAUGUUGGCGUAUAAAUAAAAGAAAUUGUGAUUCGUUUGUGUAGAAAGCAGAAUUGACUUGAUAUUAACCUGUGAAUAACGUGUGUCUUCAUUCUCCUCAAAGCUGUGAUUAUCAUGUCACACCACGGGGCUGAGGAACCCUGCCUUCUGAUUGGACAGAAAGGCGUCGAUUCGUUUCAUAGAACAGCUUUCCAUCUGAUGCUUUAUGGUUUCUAACAGCAGCUUAUCGUCAGGAAGAGCCGACAACAACCGACGACACAAACCUACACAGCUGAACAGACCACAAGGAUUAUUUUAUAACACUUUUGUGUGCAAAAUCAUGUGUAAAAAUUAAAAAAAAAAAAAUGGAAGAAGGGAAUUUGAUGAUUUUAUCCCUCAUCUGAUGUGUAAAUGACAUAAAUGUUGCUGUAAAGGCUUCUGUCUAAUGCCUUAAAUGUACAGCCUCGUGUGUGUCAGUGUACAGUGUGACGUUCAGUUAAUUCAUGUAUAAAAUGUUUCUUGUGUGGUGUUAGAGGACUAAAGCUCAGUGUCUGAUGAUAUUCCUGAUGUAUUCCUUAUGAAUUUGCUAAUUUGAUCUCAUACAGCAUUGAGCUGCAGUGCUGCAGAGAAAAAAAGGAAGAAGAAACAUAUUUAUUUCUGUGUAUAUUGAUUUUUUCCCCAUAUACAGUGAUUUUGUAGCGUAUUUAGCAACAGAGCGUCGUGCCUAAUGAACUCCGCUGAGUCUAGACGGGUUUGGAGAUGACAGAACUUUGAGUGGGAUGUUCAUGAAAGUGCACAGGUCACCCGGUUCACACGGAAAAGUUCUGAAACUUUUCUCUCGCCGGUUUUAACGAUCGCACGAUGGCAGAUUCGCAGGAAACACACAGGCUGAUAUGGAAAGUUUGUUUUCCCCGCAGCUCUGAGCUGAUUGGACGAUGAGUAUAGAUCUGCCUCUGAAUCUCUGUGAUCUGACCCCUGCCUCGAACCCCGACUGCUGCCUUAGACAGAAUAAAUAAAGUAGCUGUGUGUGUGUGUGUGUGUGUGUGUGUGUGUGUGUGUGUGUGUGUGUGUGUGUGUGUGUGUGUGUGUGUGUGUGUGAUCCACCUCCCAGUGUGAUUAAAAAUAGCUCAGAAGGUGGGAAAACACCCAAUUUGGCAACACUGAAAGGAAAGUGAACAGAUGCUUGCAUAGAAAUCCUCCAACAGAGACACUGUGUGUGUGUGUGUGUGUGUGUGUGUGUGUGUGUGUGUGUGUGUGUGUGUGUGUGUGUGUGUGUGUGUGUGUGUGUGUGUGUGUGUGUGUGUGUGUUCUGUCUCCCAGCAGAUGGCUGUUAGCAUCCACCACUACAGCCAUUUAGCUGAUUACUCUGUGACUUUGGCUUAAUUUAAAUAAAAAAGUUUUCUACUUUAGAAUAUUUGGUUUUGUAACAUUAAUAUUAAUGUCUGUAACUUUGCUGUAGUGAGACGUCCCUUAAUGCCGGAAUUGUUGAACUUCCUACAUAUUUAUGAAUUUCAGAUGUAAACUCGGUAGCAUUAAAUCACAUCUGAAGUAAAAAUUGAUUUCUCGUGUACUUUUACUUUGUAGCUGAUACACCAGACUAGACUACAGUAGAAAAGCUGCCCAGUGUUUCUGAAUUAUUUCUGUAAGUAAUACGAAGCAAAUCGUUGUUAGUUUAUUUUCCUGCAUUGUGUCAUUUUUCUUCCUUUUUUUUACAUGUUUAAUCUCCAUAAGAACUUUUUACAAAUUUACAAAU